AGCGAACAUUGGCGGUAGGCUUAACACAUGCAAGACGAGCGAGGCGUAAUAGUCGAGCGGCGAACGGGUGCGUAAUACAUGGGAAUCUACCUCGAAGUGGGGGAUAACGUCCAGAAAUGGACGCUAAUACCGCAUAAUCCAUAUUGGGAAAGCGUUGCUGCGCUUUGAGAUGAGCCCAUGGCUGAUUAGCUAGUUGGUGAGGUAAUGGCUCACCAAGGCGACGAUCAGUAGCUGGUCUGAGAGGAUGACCAGCCACACUGGAACUGAGACACGGUCCAGACUCCUACGGGAGGCAGCAGUGGGGAAUCUUGCGCAAUGGGGGCAACCCUGACGCAGCCAUACCGCGUGAGUGAUGAAGGUCUUCGGAUUGUAAAGCUCUUUCGGCGGGGACGACGAUGACGGUACCCGCAAAAGAAGUCACGGCUAACUUCGUGCCAGCCGCCGCAGUAA
RNAcentral lists this ribosomal RNA (450 nucleotides) under uncultured bacterium. Its description in RNAcentral is "partial 16S ribosomal RNA". It matches the Rfam family "Bacterial small subunit ribosomal RNA", at positions 29 to 523 of the family's 1533-position model. The record is from RNAcentral.